This is a non-coding RNA of Urocitellus parryii (Arctic ground squirrel), 1502 nucleotides long. Lineage: Eukaryota; Metazoa; Chordata; Mammalia; Rodentia; Sciuridae. The record is from RefSeq and is a predicted model, not a curated record.
AGAGUUGAUCCCCAAGGAGAUAAUGUGAUGCUCUGGGAUCUCCCGACCCAGUGACACUGUGUAAAAUAAGACCUGAAUGGACGAAAUCCUGUGGAAAAUGAAGUUCUACCAGGACAAGAGUUCUGAGGAAAGAAGAGGAAAUUCAGGCCCCGGUGUGGUUUCUGAUGAAUAAUGAAAGGCACCAGGCAAGCAUACCUGAGCUUUGGCAUCCAAGAGCCCAAGACAAUGGGAUACCAUGAAGAACCACCAGAGAAGAAGGCUGAGUGAAGCGCAGACAUGGGAAGAGGUGGUCACGUGGAAAGCUGUGGUGAAUGCAGACAUGGGAAGAAGUGGUCACGUGGAAAGUGAGUUCAAAAAGAGAGAGAGAACAUGAAAAUGGGAGCCUGUAACACUGAGCCACACUCCAGUGGACCAGAUCCUAUGGAAAUGAAGUUCCACCAGGACAGGUGUCCCCAGGAAGGAGGAGUAGAUUCAGGCCCCAGUGUGAUUUCUGAUGAAACCUGAAAGCAGUCCCGUGCUGGAGACCAAGGACAUCUUCUAUCAGUCAUUGGAAGUACAAGGCACAAGGGAAAAGAUAGUCAUCCACCUCCCCUUGAGGGCUCACAUCCAGCAGUCGAUGGGGCGCCCCAGGAUCCACAAGCAGCUUAUAGUAGGUGACAGAAACCUGUUCUUCUGGGCUCAGUAAUUGCAAGGAAGGGCACUUCUCAGUAGCUGGUGAGUCACAGAAAGCCUCACAGCCUAGCAGGUGAGUAAGAGAGGGCGCUCCCAGGACAGCUGCUCAGUGGGGCCUGGGCCCCCAUAGCUGAAUACACUGGAAAUGCCCUAUUAUGGGGUUCGGAGAGCAACAGGCUGCCCUUCUAAGAGGGACUCGGGCCCGCAGGGACCUUAGGACCUUCCAGUGCCCGCAGGUAGCCCAGUACACCUGUCCAAGGGCUGUGGCCUGUCCUGCCAGUGCCUAGCCAUUGGGCACUCUGUGGUGGGGAGGGGCGGGGGUUAGGGGUGUAGGUUGCUCAUCUCUUGCGGGAAGAUGCUGCUGCCCAGUAUUGCAGCAGUCAGUGGGCUGCCUAGCCAGCCUCAGCCCCUGAUGAGUGCAGACCCAGUAGCCAGGCACAACUGUCACUGCAUGACCAGCUCUCCUGGAGUUAGCUGCUGCCUGCGCACAAUUUCCUUUUCCCAGCAGGUGGCGGCAGCAACAACACAGGAAACAGACGCCCUGGCUCUGGAAUUCAGCCCCUCCUCGCGCUGGGCACCUAGGGCCAGGGCGACCUCCCUGCAUUAGGUCUUUGUGCAUCCCUCCUCUCCAGUCCACACAGCUCCGAAUCCAAGCCCCGCCCCACGACUUCCUGUGACACCAGCUCCUGCCCACUGCUAGUCCCCUGGGGUCCCUGGCGCUCCAGCUUCUUUGCUGAGAGCGCGCCAGAGCCCAGGUCUCCCUCAGGACCCCGGGAGAAGGCCCGGAGGCCCAGAGGGCAGCCCAAGCCGCCUGGAACUCGCUCCUUGAA